Molecule: long non-coding RNA, 812 nt
Organism: Hirundo rustica (Barn swallow)
Lineage: Eukaryota; Metazoa; Chordata; Aves; Passeriformes; Hirundinidae
Exons: 3
Source: RefSeq, a predicted model, not a curated record
AAUUCCCCAGUUUUACGUGAGAGAAAGGGAAUGCGAGGCACACGUAAGGCAUGGCACAGGCCGUGUAGCAGACUAAGAGACGAGGCUUGGGUUGAGAGCCUUUUAAAGUCUGUGUUGGAGCUAUUCAUCGCGUGGGUGAUGUGCGUUUCCCCGGGGGUUCAGGUCAGGGUGAUGGGAGCUAGCUCCUUAUCUGCUGUACAGGAUCAGGAUGAAAAGGACCUGGAAAGGUGAUGAGUGAUUCAUGUGAAUCUCAUUAAACCUGGCCUCCAAUUCAGUUGUUCUUCAGUGCUAAUGGAAAUAAUUUCUCAUUUACAUGGACAGUCUUGAGGUGACAAUCCGAGUCAAAGCUGCCCUUUGGAAAAAAAAAUGGGGAACAAAGAGAUGACAUAGACUUUAAUUCCAGAAAAUGUCACUCUCCAGUGAGAGAAACAAGGUCUUCCCAAACUUUGCUGGCGACAGAAGCCAAGGAAGGGUAAUUGAUGAACCAUCAUGCAGAUGUUUACAGAGCCGUUAAGAUUUGUGUGAAGACUGUUCAACCCUGAAAAUGCAGUGUUUUCUGCAAGGAAGAAACUGUCACGUCAGUGAGAGACCUUUUCAAAUUCUCUUCCCAUCAGUGUAAUCCUUCAGACCUGAGAGUGACCUGCAAAUUACGCACCUGCACUUCCUGGGUGAUAGAGUGCUCAGUGCAAUGGACUAGGCUAUUUUUUCCUGUGUGACUUUUUUUUUUUUUUUUUUUAAGAAGUAAUAUGUCCAAGUCUAUGACUGGACUGAUACAGAAAGAUAAAGUCACCAUGUACAUGUGUAACAGAGUC